GGUAAAUGGCCGAGUAGGUGCAAGAUUGUAGCCCUUGUUAUAGAGGAAGAACCCUCUUUUUACCA
RNAcentral lists this transfer RNA (65 nucleotides) under Cynops cyanurus (blue-tailed fire-bellied newt). RNAcentral's name for it is "tRNA-Tyr". The record is from RNAcentral. Lineage: Eukaryota; Metazoa; Chordata; Amphibia; Caudata; Salamandridae.